This 396-nucleotide ribosomal RNA is filed under the name uncultured bacterium. RNAcentral's name for it is "partial 16S ribosomal RNA". It matches the Rfam family "Bacterial small subunit ribosomal RNA", at positions 523 to 918 of the family's 1533-position model. The record is from RNAcentral.
AUACGUAGGUGGCAAGCGUUGUCCGGAAUUAUUGGGCGUAAAGCGCAUGUAGGCGGUUUGGUAAGUCGGUCGUGAAAAUGCGGUGCUUAACGCCGUAUGGCGAUUGAAACUGCUGAACUUGAGUGCAGGAGAGGGAAGGGGAACUCCCAGUGUAGCGGUGAAAUGCGUAGAUAUUGGGAAGAACACCGGUGGCGAAGGCGCCUUUCUGGACUGUGUCUGACGCUCAGAUGCGAAAGCCAGGGUAGCGAACGGGAUUAGAUACCCCGGUAGUCCUGGCCGUAAACGAUGGGUACUAGGUGUGGGAGGUAUCGACUCCUUCCGUGCCGGAGUUAACGCAAUAAGUACCCCGCCUGGGGAGUACGGCCGCAAGGCUUAAACUCAAAUGAAUUGACGGGG